ACAAGAUUUCACCCCUACCCCUGAAGUACCUCUCACCUCUCCCGGCCUCGAGCCAGACAGUAUCUCGCGAAAGCCUGACAGUUAAGCUGCCAGAUUUCUCAAGAGACUUAUCCGGCCGGCUACAGACCCUUUAGACCCAAUAAUAACGGUUACCACUCGAGCCGCCGGUGUUACCGCGGCGGCUGGCACCGGUCUUGCCCGGCCCUUGCUAUGAAAUGCUUUUUAGGCAUCUCGACAGCCAGAUUUGUAACCUGGCACUCGAGGUUCCCUUAUCGCUGUUGCCAGCAUUGUAAAGUUUUCGCGCCUGCUGCACCCCGUAGGGCCUGGAUUCGUGUCUCAGAAUCCAUCUCCGGGCUCUUGCUCUCACAACCCGUACCCGUCGUAGGCUAGUAGGUACGCUACACCCACUACUACCUGAUAGGCCGCAGACCCAUCCUUAGGCGCCGGAGCUUUAAAUCUCGAUGCAUUCCAGCAAUCGAGACCUAUCGGGUAUUAUACCCAGUUUCCCGGGUUUAUCCCCGUCCUAAGGGCAGGUUGUCCACGUGUUACUGAGCAGUUCGCCAUGUAUUGCUACAUUC
Molecule: ribosomal RNA, 578 nt
Filed under: uncultured archaeon
Lineage: Archaea
Description: partial 16S ribosomal RNA
Source: RNAcentral